AUGAACGCUGGCGGCGUGCCUAAUCCAUGCAAGUCGAGCGAACAGAUGAGGAGCUUGCUCCUCUGACGUUAGCGGCGGACGGGGGAGUAACACGUGGAUAACCUACCUAUAAGACUGGGAUAACUUCGGGAAACCGGAGCUAAUACCGGAUAAUAUAUUGAACCGCAUGGUUCAAUAGUGAAAGACGGUUUUGCUGUCACUUAUAGAUGGAUCCGCGCCGCAUUAGCUAGUUGGUAAGGUAACGGCUUACCAAGGCAACGAUGCGUAGCCGACCUGAGAGGGUGAUCGGCCACACUGGAACUGAGACACGGUCCAGACUCCUACGGGAGGCAGCAGUAGGGAAUCUUCCGCAAUGGGCGAAAGCCUGACGGAGCAACGCCGCGUGAGUGAUGAAGGUCUUCGGAUCGUAAAACUCUGUUAUUAGGGAAGAACAAAUGUGUAAGUAACUAUGCACGUCUUGACGGUACCUAAUCAGAAAGCCACGGCUAACUACGUG
Molecule: ribosomal RNA, 496 nt
Filed under: uncultured bacterium
Lineage: Bacteria
Description: partial 16S ribosomal RNA
Rfam family: Bacterial small subunit ribosomal RNA
Source: RNAcentral